Long non-coding RNA from Phalaenopsis equestris, 255 nucleotides. RefSeq lists it as uncharacterized. The transcript is spliced from 2 exons. The record is from RefSeq and is a predicted model, not a curated record. Lineage: Eukaryota; Viridiplantae; Streptophyta; Magnoliopsida; Asparagales; Orchidaceae.
GUCGGCUUCUUUGGAUUGGAAACAGCCUCCUUCUCGGGUUUAGAUCCCUGCGUUUCCGGAGGAGGUCGAGAUUAGCUAUCUGGCUUCUCUUAAGACUCGUGGUACGAUUUCAUGGGGAGAGGCUGGUUAUCCUCGGAGUUUCCAGAUCUGGCGAGAUCCGGUGAUUUAUUGAACGGGAUGCGGCCGUUUUCUAUCCCGGUGGAAGAAGGAUGUCGUAUUUACGAAUCAGGUUGAGGAAGGCUUGUAUACUUUGUU